Molecule: ribosomal RNA, 468 nt
Filed under: uncultured bacterium
Lineage: Bacteria
Description: partial 16S ribosomal RNA
Rfam family: Bacterial small subunit ribosomal RNA
Source: RNAcentral
GACGAACGCCGGCGGCGUGCUUAACACAUGUAAGUCGAACGGAAAGGCCCUGCUUUUGUGGGGUGCUCGAGUGGCGAACGGGUGAGUAACACGUGAGUAACCUGCCCUUGACUUUGGGAUAACUUCAGGAAACUGGGGCUAAUACCGGAUAGGAGCUCCUGCUGCAUGGUGGGGGUUGGAAAGUUUCGGCGGUUGGGGAUGGACUCGCGGCUUAUCAGCUUGUUGGUGGGGUAGUGGCUUACCAAGGCUUUGACGGGUAGCCGGCCUGAGAGGGUGACCGGCCACAUUGGGACUGAGAUACGGCCCAGACUCCUACGGGAGGCAGCAGUGGGGAAUAUUGCACAAUGGGCGGAAGCCUGAUGCAGCAACGCCGCGUGCGGGAUGACGUCCUUCGGGUUGUAAACCGCUUUCGCCUGUGACGAAGCGUGAGUGACGGUAAUGGGUAAAGAAGCACCGGCUAACUACGUG